RNAcentral lists this transfer RNA (73 nucleotides) under Chlorosarcinopsis eremi. Its description in RNAcentral is "tRNA-Trp". It matches the Rfam family "tRNA". From Rfam's summary of the family: Transfer RNA (tRNA) molecules are approximately 80 nucleotides in length. Their secondary structure includes four short double-helical elements and three loops (D, anti-codon, and T loops). Lineage: Eukaryota; Viridiplantae; Chlorophyta; Chlorophyceae; Chlorosarcinales; Chlorosarcinaceae. The record is from RNAcentral.
AGAAGAGUAGCUUAAUUGGUAGAGCAUCAGUUUCCAAAACUGACGGUUGCAGGUUCAAGUCCUGUCUUUUCUG